GGGCUGAUAGUGAUAAUGGUAGCACAGUGGCUUUGCAAGCCUCGGGUGGGAGUUCGAUCCUCCCUCGGUCCACCA
Molecule: transfer RNA, 75 nt
Filed under: bacterium
Lineage: Bacteria
Description: tRNA-Ala
Rfam family: tRNA
About the family: Transfer RNA (tRNA) molecules are approximately 80 nucleotides in length. Their secondary structure includes four short double-helical elements and three loops (D, anti-codon, and T loops).
Source: RNAcentral